AACGAACGCUGGCGGCAUGCCUAACACAUGCAAGUCGAACGAGACCUUCGGGUCUAGUGGCGCACGGGUGCGUAACGCGUGGGAAUCUGCCCUUGGGUUCGGAAUAACAGCGAGAAAUUGCUGCUAAUACCGGAUGAUGACGUAAGUCCAAAGAUUUAUCGCCCAAGGAUGAGCCCGCGUAGGAUUAGCUAGUUGGUGAGGUAAAGGCUCACCAAGGCGACGAUCCUUAGCUGGUCUGAGAGGAUGAUCAGCCACACUGGGACUGAGACACGGCCCAGACUCCUACGGGAGGCAGCAGUGGGGAAUAUUGGACAAUGGGCGAAAGCCUGAUCCAGCAAUGCCGCGUGAGUGAUGAAGGCCUUAGGGUUGUAAAGCUCUUUUACCCGGGAUGAUAAUGACAGUACCGGGAGAAUAAGACUCCGGCUAACUCCGUGCCAGCAG
Molecule: ribosomal RNA, 441 nt
Filed under: uncultured bacterium
Lineage: Bacteria
Description: bacterial SSU rRNA
Rfam family: Bacterial small subunit ribosomal RNA
Source: RNAcentral